GACGAACGCUGGCGGCGUGCUUAACACAUGCAAGUCGAACGGUGAAGCGCCUUCCUUUUUGGUGGGUGUGGAUGAGUGGCGAACGGGUGAGUAACACGUGAGUAACCUGCCCCCUUCUUCUGGAUAACCGCAUGAAAGUGUGGCUAAUACGGGAUAUUCUGGUUCUGUCGCAUGAUGGGUCUGGGAAAGAUAUUGUUUCGGUGGGGGAUGGGCUCGCGGCCUAUCAGCUUGUUGGUGGGGUGAUGGCCUACCAAGGCGGUGACGGGUAGCCGGCCUGAGAGGGUGGACGGUCACACUGGGACUGAGACACGGCCCAGACUCCUACGGGAGGCAGCAGUGGGGAAUAUUGCACAAUGGGCGCAAGCCUGAUGCAGCGACGCCGCGUGAGGGAUGGAGGCCUUCGGGUUGUGAACCUCUUUCGCCAGUGAAGCAGGCCUGCCUCGUUUGUGGGUGGGUUGACGGUAGCUGGAUAGGAAGCGCCGGCUAACUACGUG
RNAcentral lists this ribosomal RNA (494 nucleotides) under uncultured bacterium. RNAcentral's name for it is "partial 16S ribosomal RNA". It matches the Rfam family "Bacterial small subunit ribosomal RNA", at positions 28 to 507 of the family's 1533-position model. The record is from RNAcentral.